This 2542-nucleotide long non-coding RNA is filed under the name Sus scrofa (pig). RNAcentral's name for it is "lncRNA (ENSSSCG00060058184.1)". Lineage: Eukaryota; Metazoa; Chordata; Mammalia; Artiodactyla; Suidae. The record is from RNAcentral.
GAGAGAGUGUGAUCCAGUGCACAUUUUAAAAAAUUGACCUUUGAAAAUUGGCAUGGACAGGACAAAAAUUGAAAUAGUAUGUCACCACCGUCUGUGGAUAUAUAGAUCCCUAUUGGCUCAUAGAUGUAAUGCUGGGAAAAUAAGUCUUUUUUCCUUGAUUGUGUCCUUUUUGAAUUAAAUAAGAAAUGAAGUCAGCAGCAAAGAGUGAGGAGGGAUGGUUACAUAUUUGAGAAGAGAAAAAGUUCCCUGUAUAUGAAGUGAUGUAUGGAUCUACAUAAGUGUGCUCCAAGUACUGAGUUCUUUGUGACAUUGUUGUUGCCUGUACCUGUACCCUCUCCUUUAGUUACUAGAGAUUUGGGACAGAUGAAUAGAAUGGAUGGACUUUUGAAGGCUCUUUUGGACUGAAGAUUGUAUUAUCCAGUUUUUCUCUUUUUGUACCAACUCUUGCCUUCUGCAACAAUUCAACAAGGAUUUAUUGCAUUCCAUUAUCUGAAGACAUAAUUUCUGCCCUCAAGGAGUUGACAGUCCUAUUCAUUCCAUCCGUGGAGGUGAGAUACUUUUUAGGAUUACUAUGUCAGAGUUUUAAAAAAUACUGAAGACAGAUUGGCACCUGCUAUGAUCUGAAUAUGUCCUUCGAAAUUUGUAUGUUGACAUCCUAGUGCUCAACAUGGUGGUAUUAGGAGGUGCAUUCUUGAGGAGGUGAUUUCCGAUUUCCAUGUGCUCACCAAGUAGGUUACUGAAGCAUGUGCAGCUACUCUAGCAGACAAUAGCCCUCAGGUUCCCCGGGCUAUCCCCUUGUGCAGGUUUAAAGUGGAGUGUUUUCACUGAAACACUUCCUCAUGAACAGCUGUCCUUGGAACCCUAAAAAGUAAGUUUUUGAUAAGUUGCUGAUGGUGGAUUUUCACCCUACUAAGAAACCACAGCAACUUCUCUGUCAUCAGUGAGCCAUAGAUGUGUCUUCUCUAAUGAAGUCUGGAUCUUAGCUCUGGGGCAGCUGCUUUGGGUACCCAAUCUCAGCCUGAAGACUGUUCCUUAAAUGGACUAUUGCUCUGUUCUUUAGUAUCCUUAUGCUUUUUAUUAGCCAUUCCUUCCUUAUCCCAACAUGCUACUAUGGUAAAUUCUUCAUUUUAAACUUUUCCCAUUUGAACUAUUAUGUAAUUCCUCUCUACUGAUUGGACACUAACUGAUAGAAUUAUCUCGGUUUUACAAACUAAGUUGAUGUCAGGAAGCAGUAUAAAUUUGCACAAGAUCAUGUAGCUAGUAAGUGAAGUACUGGGAUGUGAAUCCAAGCUGUAUGGCUCUGGAGCCUGUGCACCUAGCCAUUAAGAUAAACUACCUCCAAUACAUAAAUAUUAGCAAUGAGAUCCUGCUGUGUAACACUGGAAAUUAUGUCUAGUCACUUAUGAUGGAGCAUGAUAAUAUGAGAAAAAAGAAUGUAUACAUUUACGUGUAACUGGGUCGCCAUGCUGUACAGUAGAAAAUUGACAGAACACUGUAAACCAGCUAUAAUGGAAAAAAAUAAAAAGCAUUAUGUAAAAAACAUGAAUAUAAUGAAUAUGUUAUAUGAAGUAACCAAUUGAGGGAUAUUAAGCACUUUUUUAUUCUUAAUUUGGGGGUGAUAUCUAAACCAUUAUGUAUACAUGAUAGAACACCAGAUUGCAUAGAUUUCUUUUUAUAAUUCAAGAGAUGUGAAGAAUAGCCAGCUGGACAGAACAGAAGAUAUAACCCAGAAUACAAGUCAGAAAGGUGAAUAGAUGGAAAAUACACAGAUUAUUAUUAUUAUUUUUUUUUUUGCUUUUUGCUUUUUAGGGCCACACUUGCAGCAUAUAGAAGUUUCUAGGCUAAGGUCGAAUUGGAGCUUUAGCUGCUGGCCUACACUACAGCUCACAGCAAUGCUGGAUCCCAUUGAGCAAGACCAGGGAUUGAACCUGCAUCCUCAUGGAUACUAGUAGGAUUUGUUUCCACUGCAUCACAAUGGGGACACCUUCAUAGCUUUCUAUCACAUAUCAUAUUCACAACUGCUCACUUGCUAUGAUUCUGUGUUUUCAAUGAAAAGUUAUUAAGUCAUUUAAAAUCUUAGAUAUCAAGCUCCCAUUCAUGUUAAUUUCUCCAUGUGAGUCAUCUCUGUUUUUAUUAUGUAAAUAAAUGUUUUAUGGAAAAAUUUUCUGUGCAUGUAUUGCCCAGUUAUACAGAUAGCAUGUAACUUUUCAAAUGUUUUCUCAAAGGAUACUUAGGAUUAAUUAUAUAAUAAAUUCUCCAAUGGUAAAAUCUUAAAACAUACACAAUGUGUUAUUUGUGACUUUUGGAUACCUUAUUAUUACUCUGCAUUUAGUAGUAUGAGGGAAAAUGCUAAAUAUUGUUCUUGGGAGUUCCCAUUGUGGCUCAGUGGUAACAAACCCAACUAAUAUCCAUGAGAAUGAGGGUUCGAUCCCUCGCCUUGCUCAGUGGGUUAAGGAUCUGGCAUUGCCGCAAGCUGUGGUGUAGGGGACAGAUGUGGUCCCUGUGUAUCUGGUAUUGCUGUGGCUGUGGCUGUGGCGUGGGC